GUGAUUUGCUUAAUCUCAUCCUCUGGCCUGUUGUCGUCUGCUUUUGGACGGAACGCUGGAUUAUCAUCAUAAUAUUUUUCGGCCAGGUUCAAUAACGGUCUCAGGUUGAUGCCGUACACGUCUUCAAUAAUAUCCAGGUUGUCGUAGCGGGCACAGAUGCGGAUAAUAUUGGCCAGGCACACUUUGGAACCGGAAUAGGCGCCGAUCCAAAGGACAUCGUGAUUUCCCCACUGAAUAUCGACAGAAUGAUAGUUGAUCAGUUCUUCCAUAAUUCUAUCCGGCUGCGGUCCGCGGUCGUAAAUAUCGCCGACCACAUGCAGAUGGUCGACCACCAAUCGCUGAACGCUGUAAGCAAGGCCGGUGAUCAGCUUAUCGGCUUGGCCAAGCUCAAUGAUCUGAUCAAUGAUUUCGGAGUAAUAUUGCUCCUUGUUGCCAGCUUGUUCUGUUUUGUAUAACAGCUCCUCUGUAAUAUAAGCAAACUGGGCAGGCAGUGCUUUGCGCAGUUUGGAGCGGGUAUACUUGGAGGAGCAAUAAGAAACGAGCUUAAUCAUUCGGUUAAUGGUUUCUUUAUACCACUCGUUUAAUGCUGCUUUCGCAUCAAAGUCAUGUUUGAUCAACUUCAGUUUGUCUUCCGGAUAAUAGACCAAUGCCGCUAAUUCAUCGAUUUCUCUAUCGUAAAUGACACCGCUGAAGAUGUCGCGUAUCUUCUCUUUGACUCGUCCUGAACCAUUGCGCAACACGUGCUGGAAUGCCUGAUACUCUCCGUGCAGAUCACUGACAAAAUGCUCGGUGCCUUUUGGCAGGUUCAAUAUCGCUUUCAAAUUAAUGAUUUCUGUUACAACUUUUUCUUCACAAUCGUAUUUUUGUGCGAGUAGAUCUAGGUACUUGCUUUCCAAAAUCGUCCAUCCCCUUUUUAGAAUAAACCCCUCUAUAUGAUCAUGUGCAUGAUAAGGUGAAUGUAAAAGUAUGUCAUUGUUUUUCAUCAUUGGACCUUUAUAUGAUAGUACCGCAUAACUGCUUUUAUAGACAAUUGAAACGAGUGAAUAAAGUGAAACACAAAAAAAACCAGAUGUUAAAUCUGGUUUCCUGUUCAAAGCAAACUAUUAUUGUUUUUCUUUCACCAUCUUUACAAAGAGGAAAAAGAUAAUGAAUACGAUAAAGUAGUUCAUUGGAUUCUUAACGAUGCUCAUCUCUAGUGAAAUCUGUAAGAGUAUCCAGAGCGCAAAGAUGGCUAGUAUGGCAGGAGUGAUAAUGUUGUACAUGUCGACCACCUUCCGUAGUGAAGAGCCCUAUAAUAAAAAACUAUUAGCCUGUACCACAAACUGCGACUGCUCAUAAUUAUACGAAAUCUUCGAGUAAUCAAACGGCUGCCCAUUUGUCAGGUGAAAAAUACUUUCUAUAUACAGCUUCGGCAGUCCCGCCUCUAAUCCCAAAUAUUCCGCUUCUUCCUCAUUAAGCUGGCCCACGUGCAGAAACAAAUCAGAAAAACCAAUCUUCAACCCCAGUCCUUCCCGGAUGUAAUGGAAGAUGGAGUGGGAGACGAUUUCGUUGUUUAAAUACGUCACGAUGGAUUUGGUGUAAUAGGAUUCUUCGUAGCAAAGGGUCUGGCCGUUGAUGUAGCGGACCCUUUUGACAUAGUAGAUGUCCUCGUUUAUUUCGAUAUUCAGGUUUUCCGCCGCUUCCGGUGUUGGCUUUCUCACGUCCAGUUCGAUGACUUUUGAGGUGACGUUGAAAUCCUCGAGAUCUUUUUUAAAUCCCUGAUUCGACAGAAGGCUGAUAUAGCCUUUUCGUUUAUGUUUUCUGACGAAAAUGCCGCUUCCUCUGACCUGAAAGAUCGCGCCUUUUUGCUCUAAUAGCUCGAGGGACUUUGUGAUGGUGCUUUUGCUGACUUCAAACUGGGCCAUGAGGGUUUCUAGGACUGGCAGUUUGUCUCCCUGCUGAAGCUGGUGUUCUUCUAUAUAUGUUUCAAUUUCCGCUGCGAUUUGCUGGUAUUUUAACAUACGCAUUCCUCAUUUAUUCGUUUAGUUUCACUUGUCAAAAUUAUAGCAUAAACCGCUUACAAUGAUAGUUAGUGCGUAAAUAUUUUGUUUCGGCAUUGAUAAAUUAUACCGGUACAAUUAUAAUGAAAGCGUAACCAAAAUGAAGGGGUGGGUAAAAUGUCGGGGAAAGUGAGAGGUUAUACGAGACUAGCAAAAGACAUUUUAGAGGCCGUAGGCGGGGAAGAGAAUGUGAUUGGGGCUUCUCGCUGCGCUACCAGACUUCGAUUGGUGCUGAAGCGGUCUACCCCUAAAGCGAAGGAUAUCGUGAAAUCGAUGCUACCAUCCCGGCAUGAUUACGGUUGUCAUGGUGGCGCCUACAAGCCUGCGUUCAGCGUCCGGCGUCGAAUUGCUUGCGCACAUCGGACUGGAUAGAGUGACAUUAGACGGCACGUCUUUUUCCUUGAAGGUAAAAGAAGGCGAUACCGUCAAAAAAGGCGAAGUGCUUGUUGAGUUUGAUAAAGCUUUCAUUGAAGAGAUUGAGGAAAGUGCAUUACAUCAAAAAAUAUUUACAGUCGUAAGCUGAGGAGGAAUUAAACAUGGGAAACAUGCCAAAGGAUUUUUUAUGGGGCGGUGCUUUAGCUGCCCACCAAUUUGAAGGCGGAUGGAAUCAAGGCGGUAAAGGGCCGAGUGUCGUCGAUGUGAUGACAGCGGGUGCGCACGGCGUGCCGAGAAAAAUCACGGACACGAUUGAAGAAAACGAAUUUUAUCCAAACCAUGAAGCCAUUGAUUUCUAUCACAGAUACAAGGAAGAUAUCGCUUUGUUUGCGGAAAUGGGAUUAAAAUGUCUGCGGACGUCCAUCGGCUGGAGCCGGAUUUUUCCGAAAGGCGAUGAGGCUGAACCGAACGAAGCUGGUUUGCAGUUUUAUGAUGAUGUGUUUGAUGAAUUGCU
This 2928-nucleotide ribosomal RNA is filed under the name Bacillus subtilis subsp. subtilis str. BSP1. Its description in RNAcentral is "23S ribosomal RNA". The record is from RNAcentral. Lineage: Bacteria; Bacillati; Bacillota; Bacilli; Caryophanales; Bacillaceae.